This 468-nucleotide ribosomal RNA is filed under the name uncultured bacterium. RNAcentral's name for it is "partial 16S ribosomal RNA". It matches the Rfam family "Bacterial small subunit ribosomal RNA", at positions 28 to 507 of the family's 1533-position model. The record is from RNAcentral.
GACGAACGCUGGCGGCGUGCUUAACACAUGCAAGUCGAACGGAAAGACCCUGCUUUUGUGGGGUGCUCGAGUGGCGAACGGGUGAGUAACACGUGAGUAACCUGCCCUUGACUUUGGGAUAACUUCAGGAAACUGGGGCUAAUACCGGAUAGGAGCUCCUGCUGCAUGGUGGGGGUUGGAAAGUUUCGGCGGUUGGGGAUGGACUCGCGGCUUAUCAGCUUGUUGGUGGGGUAGUGGCUUACCAAGGCUUUGACGGGUAGCCGGCCUGAGAGGGUGACCGGCCACAUUGGGACUGAGAUACGGCCCAGACUCCUACGGGAGGCAGCAGUGGGGAAUAUUGCACAAUGGGCGGAAGCCUGAUGCAGCAACGCCGCGUGCGGGAUGACGGCCUUCGGGUUGCAAACCGCUUUCGCCUGUGACGAAGCGUGAGUGACGGUAAUGGGUAAAGAAGCACCGGCUAACUACGUG